UACGGAGGGUGCAAGCGUUAUCCGGAUUCACUGGGUUUAAAGGGUGCGUAGGCGGGCAGGUAAGUCAGAGGUGAAAUCUCCGGGCUUAACCCGGAAACUGCCUUUGAUACUAUCUGUCUUGAAUAUGGUGGAGGUAAGCGGAAUAUGUCAUGUAGCGGUGAAAUGCUUAGAGAUGACAUAGAACACCCAUUGCGAAGGCAGCUUACUACGCCUAUAUUGACGCUGAGGCACGAAAGCGUGGGGAGUCAAACAGG
This 254-nucleotide ribosomal RNA is filed under the name uncultured bacterium. Its description in RNAcentral is "partial 16S ribosomal RNA". It matches the Rfam family "Bacterial small subunit ribosomal RNA", at positions 524 to 776 of the family's 1533-position model. The record is from RNAcentral.